Molecule: long non-coding RNA, 826 nt
Organism: Oncorhynchus tshawytscha (Chinook salmon)
Lineage: Eukaryota; Metazoa; Chordata; Actinopteri; Salmoniformes; Salmonidae
Source: Ensembl
CCAGGAUGGAGAACAGGGGUCAGGAUGGAGAACAGGGGUCAGGAUGGAGAACAGGGGUCAGGAUGGAGAACAGGGGUCAGGAUGGAGAACAGGGGUCAGGAUGGAGAACAGGGGUCAGGAUGGAGAACAGGGGUCAGGAUGGAGAACAGGUGUCAUGGUGGAGAACAGGGGUCAGGAUGGAGAACAGGGGUCAGGAUGGAGAACAGGGGUCAGGAUGGAGAACAGGUGUCAGGAUGGAGAACAGGGGUCAUGGUGGAGAACAGGGGUCAGGAUGGAGAACAGGUGUCAGGAUGGAGAACAGGGGUCAGGAUGGAGAACAGGUGUCAGGAUGGAGAACAGGUGUCAGGAUGGAGAACAGGGGUCAUGGUGGAGAACAGGUGUCAGGAUGGAGAACAGGGGUCAGGAUGGAGAACAGGGGUCAGGAUGGAGAACAGGGGUCAUGGUGGAGAACAGGGGUCAGGAUGGAGAACAGGGGUCAGGAUGGAGAACAGGGGUCAUGGUGGAGAACAGGGGUCAUGGUGGAGAACAGGGGUCAGGAUGGAGAACAGGGGUCAGGAUGGAGAACAGGGGUCAGGAUGGAGAACAGGGGUCAGGAUGGAGAACAGGUGUCAGGAUGGAGAACAGGGGUCAUGGUGGAGAACAGGGGUCAGGAUGGAGAACAGGGGUCAGGAUGGAGAACAGGGGUCAGGAUGGAGAACAGGGGUCAUGGUGGAGAACAGGGGUCAGGAUGGAGAACAGGGGUCAGGAUGGAGAACAGGGGUCAGGAUGGAGAACAGGGGUCAGGAUGGAGAACAGGGGUCAUGGUGGAGAACAGGGGUCAGGAUGG